CAGUCGGUGCAAGUCCGAUCCGAUGAAUCUGUCAUUCACAUCGGAAGCGAAGGGAACAGCUUACACGGCGACGUAUCAGGCUGAAGCUUCCCGGAGCAGUCAGCAAGCCGUAACGCGA
Non-coding RNA from Desulfobacteraceae bacterium IS3, 118 nucleotides. Lineage: Bacteria; Pseudomonadati; Thermodesulfobacteriota; Desulfobacteria; Desulfobacterales; Desulfobacteraceae. The record is from Rfam.